CUCCCUUUUAACAGGAAAAAACAUCCGGCAGAACCAGGCUCAGGGAGGGGCGGGGCCAUCUGCUGUGAUUGGUUGGGGUGAGAGAAGGAAGACAGGAUAAAGACAUGCUGUGGAAAAGAGACAGAUUAAUAACAGGUGAGAACAGAGAGGGCAGCAUCAUCAGCUCACUGGAAGGUUCAGAAGGUGGUCAGCUGGUAAGGAGCGACGGCCCAGCCCUGUUGUUGACGAUGAAGGUCAUCUGUUUAAGGAGUGAGCUGUUGAUCAGUCUUCACGGAUCAGUGGGCAGCCCGGUCACUUCCUGGAUCGAUUACAGCAACUCUCUUCUUUUUGGUCGUAGUCAAAAAUCUGUCCAUCAUUAUAUUCCUCUAAUAUGUUUGAUGGUUGUGUUGAUCUGUGUGGGACUGGGGGGAGGGGGCGUUGUGGGUUUUUUUCAUAUAUAUGUGUGU
Long non-coding RNA from Astatotilapia calliptera (eastern happy), 446 nucleotides. NCBI's taxonomy places the organism in Eukaryota, Metazoa, Chordata, Actinopteri, Cichliformes, Cichlidae. The record is from Ensembl.